Molecule: long non-coding RNA, 1612 nt
Organism: Chroicocephalus ridibundus (black-headed gull)
Lineage: Eukaryota; Metazoa; Chordata; Aves; Charadriiformes; Laridae
Exons: 3
Source: RefSeq, a predicted model, not a curated record
CCGCUGCGGCAUUUCUGCAGGUCACCUGAACAAGAAGAGCCUUUCUGCCUUUCUGUAGGGGUUUCUGAUGAGGUCAAGGGUGUAAUUAAAUGCUUAUGGUUAACGGUUUAUGUAAUUAAAUGGUUAUGGUUAAGAUUAAAAGUUAAAGUUUUGACUUCACACGGCAGUUGUUGUAUUUGUGCAUUGAUUUUUACCACGCUUUUCUUUCCCCCGCAGGAAACGGACUGUUUUAUUGUCCCCGUCGCUCUCCGAGCCCUUCCCGUCUGUGUGCCUGACCCCACAGUCUCUCGGUCGCUGGGUUUUUGCCAGGACCCACAAGUGACCGUGGACAGACGCGGCGCUGGCCGCUGGCCGUGAUGUUUUGUGGCUCCAGGAGCUGCCGGGCACAACGGCCGCUCGCUCGCAGGGCUGCUGGCAUCGGGGGAACCGGCUGAGGCCACAGCUGCUCCCACCGCUGUUGACAAUGUGGUGGACUUCAGUGCAGACGUGGGUGGUGUUCGUGCUGAAGGACAACAAACUCAAGGACGUCCUGGCCCUGGACAUGAGGACUUUGCUGUGUGGAAGCGGAGAGCUGUCCCUGAAGGACAACGGACGCCCCAGGACAUCCAAGGUAAAGCCAGCCCCUCUGUCGAGGCUUUGAAACCCUCCGGCAUCGGCUGGUGUCACGGACAAGCGGCUCUGGCCAGACGGACUGCAGGGGCAUCGGGAUCCAGCCAAGCAGCGAGGAUGCUGCAGAAAUAGAGCUGCUGUGCCGGGAUUUUCUGUGAUCAGCAAUGGGCAGGGUGGGUGCCAGUGAGGAGGGAAACGUGUUGGACCCGCACGUGUGAAGGGUGCGAGAACCCCGGGUUUGGGGAGCCCCAGUUUGGCUGGGACGCCUCAUGUGCAGGAGUCGGUAUUUCCUCCGGUGAGUCUGUGCUUUGUGUUCCAGCCUCCCUCCUCGGAUGGCACGAGCCGGGUGCGAAUGGACGGACCGGUGCUGGGCCCUGCUCUGCUCCUCUGCUCCGGGGCCUCACGCAGGCAGCUGCGCUCAAAAUGUGCUGCGGUGGGAGCAGAGGCCACUCCAGGGACCCACCCCGGCUCCUGCAGCCCCGACGGUGGACAGUGAAGCCGGGCAGAGGGAGCGAUGCCAUCCCAGAGCUGCUGGUCCCUCGGGGGGUGUUGGUGGCCCCGGUGAUGCCCGUGGCUGUGCCCACGUGUGGGGAAGGCUCAUCCCGGUGCCCAGGCGAGGAGCGUGGCCCCGGGGCGGGGGAGGCUGUGCCCGGUGAGGUGAGUGCCCUGGGGCAGCGGGGAGGGGAGCCAGAGCUGCGGGGGGGGACCAGGACACUCGGCUCCCGGGGAUGGGGAGGGCACGUGCUGCUGGUGCUGGCCCCGGCCCCACCUUGGGGCUGCUGGAGUCGGUCUGUGACGCUGCUGCGUGGGCAGGUUUUCAGCCAGAUGUGGCUGUCACCCACCCUUCUGGGGAGAAACGGGACGUUUCUGGUGUCCCGUCCCCUCUCGGGUGCGCGGUGCCGGGCUGCUGCUGCCGAGGGUCCGGGCAGAGCUGCCCGUGCCCAGGCCGCCGCAGGUUUGUCCGUCCCGGUGCCACCAGGAGCUGAUUGUCCCACCUCUCUCC